GGCCCCGUAGCUCAGUGGAUAGAGCGGCGGACUUCGAAUCCGCGGGCGCAAGUUCGAUUCUUGCCGGGGCCA
RNAcentral lists this transfer RNA (72 nucleotides) under Actinomycetota bacterium. Its description in RNAcentral is "tRNA-Arg". It matches the Rfam family "tRNA". From Rfam's summary of the family: Transfer RNA (tRNA) molecules are approximately 80 nucleotides in length. Their secondary structure includes four short double-helical elements and three loops (D, anti-codon, and T loops). The record is from RNAcentral. Lineage: Bacteria; Bacillati; Actinomycetota.